AGUAGAGAAAUACGUAUUAAAUUCAUUAGAAUUAUUAUUAUAAGUGAAAUUAUUAACUUUCUUGUAACACAAGUAAUGUAGAUUGCCACGUUGAUUACACAACAUUAACGUCGAUUUCUCGAUAUUUUUUUAGUUUUUUUACGUUUUUUAGUUUAUCCGAAAAAAAAAAAACAUUUUUAUCGUUUAUCGAAAGAGAUACAUAUGCUUGAGAGAUAUGUUUGUGAGUCACGUCGCGCCGUGACUAAAACGGCCGAUAAUAUCGUGAGCGAAAAACAGUGCAUCGCACGUUAAGACAUUUUACUCAUGCUGACCAUAAUUUGUUUGAAUCAGACACGACUGUGCAUAGAAGUUCCGUGAAUGCAACUGAGAGGGCGCGGGUUUAAGGGGACCAGAGAAUGACGGAGUAAUCACGAUUGAUCCUGGAUUGAUUAUCAGUCUAACAGGAUGUGGAAACCGGCGAUCAUCCCAUGGUGGGCAAUUAUUAUUUAUAAACAAUUAUGCACGAGUUGUGACUAUUAAUGAUGAUACUGGGUGAAAUAUCGACUAAUGUAAAAAUGAUGAUUGAUCGCGAUGAACGUAUAUACAAUAUUGGAUUUUAUAAUUGAGAAGAAGCUAAACUUACUCGUAAUCAGAUUACACAAAAUGUGAUAGGUCACGGAGAAAUAUCUUUAUUUUCAAAGAGAUAUUAAAGAUAUUUUAAACAGCAACACUUAUUGUUUAAGCCUUGAUAUUAUCUGUUGUGUAUUUCCCUUCAAGCUGUACGUAUCGAAGAAUAAAUUGAAAGCCACAUUAAUAUAUUUCAAUUAAUGUUAAUAGCGUUCAAGAUAAACAUGAUUGAAAAUUAAAAGCUCUCGAAAUAGAUAUUACGUGAUGAAUUACAUCGUUCAGAAAUUUGUUAGAAUGGAUUUAAAAAAAUUGAAUGAUAUAAGAAAUCACAAAAAUUAAUAAAUUCUAUAUUCAAAUCAAAUAAUCCAUAUUGUGAAAGUAAACAUAUAUGUUUUAUUAUAUUCAGUAACAAUGAAAUAAAUAUGUACCUACAUAUAUAGUUUAGUUUGACUGUGGAAAAAUACGUUCUUCUUAUUCAUCGCAAUUCCGUAACUGGAUAUUAUAACUUUAGUCUUAUAAGUACAGAUGUUUGCUAAAAACUAGCGUGUUUAGAAACCUAUAUAAUUAACGUUCUAUCUCUCUCAACAUGGAAAAAUCCUUUACGGUGUUGCACCAUUGCGAUGUCGAAUGUAUCCUGUUUUCAUAUUGAUAAUCAAAAGUAAACGUUUCCAAUGAUAUCAUUUUUUUAUUUCUUAUUUACGUAGAGUCAUCAUUAUGUAGUUUCGUUAUAAAACUGAAAUGUGGUUUUCCCAAAUAAAAAUAGUGCAAUAAGAAUUAGAACUGCAUAGUAUAAGGAAGUUGAAGCAAGAUCAGUGCCAAGGUCUGAGGUCUGAUUCCAUUCUAUUAGAUAAGCAGACUACUACUUCUACUAGAUAAGCAGAGUUCACAUGGCAAAUUAACGAAUCGUAGAAAUAUGAAUCUUAUUAAUCUUGUUAAUUAAAAAAAUUGGUAAUAUAAAAUCUUGGUAUAUUUAUAAAAAGAAAUUAUUGUCUUAUCCAACAAAUGAAUAUUUUUAUGGUAAUUUACCAGUUGAUUUGUAUAAACGCGGCAAUUAUGAAAAACGAAAAAAAAAAAA
Long non-coding RNA from Pogonomyrmex barbatus (red harvester ant), 1681 nucleotides. NCBI's taxonomy places the organism in Eukaryota, Metazoa, Arthropoda, Insecta, Hymenoptera, Formicidae. The record is from RefSeq and is a predicted model, not a curated record.